AACGAACGCUGGCGGCAGGCCUAACACAUGCAAGUCGAGCGCCCAGCAAUGGGAGCGGCGCACGGGUGAGUAACACGUGGGAAUAUGCCCUUUGGUUCGGAAUAACGCAGGGAAACUUGCGCUAAUACCGGAUAAGCCCUACGGGGAAGAUUUAUCGCCAUUGGAGUAGCCCGCGUCUGAUUAGCUAGUUGGUGAGGUAAAAGCCCACCAAGGCAACGAUCAGUAGCUGGUUUGAGAGAACGACCAGCCACACUGGGACUGAGACACGGCCCAGACUCCUACGGGAGGCAGCAGUGGGGAAUCUUGGACAAUGGGGGAAACCCGUGAUCCAGCCAUGCCGCGUGAGUGAUGAAGGCCCUAGGG
This 363-nucleotide ribosomal RNA is filed under the name uncultured bacterium. RNAcentral's name for it is "bacterial SSU rRNA". It matches the Rfam family "Bacterial small subunit ribosomal RNA", at positions 29 to 422 of the family's 1533-position model. The record is from RNAcentral.